Long non-coding RNA from Terrapene triunguis (Three-toed box turtle), 338 nucleotides. RefSeq lists it as uncharacterized. NCBI's taxonomy places the organism in Eukaryota, Metazoa, Chordata, Testudines, Emydidae. The transcript has 6 exons. The record is from RefSeq and is a predicted model, not a curated record.
GAGCAUGUGCCUGAAGGGGCAGAAAGGAGCCCAGGGCAGGAGGGGCAUCGCAGGUGCCCCAGGCGCUGCUGGGGAGAAGGGCUACCAAGGUGCACAGGGGCUGCGAGGUCUCAGAGGGACAAAGGGCGUCGUGGGUCACCCAGGGUGCCGUGGAGCUCAGGGGCGUUCUGGAGAUGUGGGCUCCCCAGGAAACACCGGCCCCACUGGUCUCCAGGGUGAGAAGGGGCAGGCCGGAGGAAGAGGCGAAAAAGGGAACGCAGGGUCUCUGGGGCCCAAGGGGGCACUGGGGGACAAUGGAUGUGAUAAACGAGGAUCUCCAGGGAGGAAGGGCCCAAAGG